Long non-coding RNA from Ostrea edulis (European flat oyster), 2337 nucleotides. RefSeq lists it as uncharacterized. The transcript has 4 exons. Lineage: Eukaryota; Metazoa; Mollusca; Bivalvia; Ostreida; Ostreidae. The record is from RefSeq and is a predicted model, not a curated record.
CAUGUUCAAACAAAAUCUUUUUACACAAAGGAACAAUAGAUGAAAACUGUCAUAGGAUUUUAUUGUCUUGGGAAGAAUCGACUGACAGGGACCUCGGUGUUAAACUGGUAAUUUUCUGUCAUCGCUUCUUCAUUACAUGGCGAAUACAAGACCUAUCAGGAGAGGGUUUGGUUUCCAGAGCUCGGACCUGGGCUGGAAUCCAAAGUAAUGUUAGACUGUAGAAGCACUAGAUCCUCCCUAUCUUGUUUGAAGAUGAACUUCCAGACAACAAGUUAUUACUGAAUAAGACAACACAGGUGUCAGUGUGCAUGAUACUUGUCACAGCAGCCAGCAGACGAUACCUUUAUAAUAGGUGCUCAUGUUUUAUUAAAGGUGCAUGACACAAUGAAAAGCUGUCAGAAAGACUCUUCGUAAAUGUCGUAAAACUAUAUCGGUGACGUAUCACGGAUAUGGUGUCCCAAAUGUUGAAACAAAAAUUGACGAGAGUUACAAAAAUGUGUUUUGAUAGAUAAUAUGUACAGCCAAAGUAAAUUUAUCGGUUAUCAAAGGCUGGAGACAUCUGUUUGUGCUCAAUUGUAUUUGAAUUCAGAUAUUUGUUGCUAAUAAACAUUGUUCCAAACUCACAAGUUACCGUCAUGUCAGACGUUCUGUACGUGGGUUUCAGGGGCUGCAGCCUCACGAGACAUUACGGCAGUCAUCAUUUCUACUUGGAGAACAGAACGUAAUCGUUUUCUCACAGGUGAGACUCAUUUGCAUUUUGUUCACCUCCUGAUCCUGCUGUAUUCGCGAUAUUUCUAUAAGUACCGCGACUUCCCUGGCAGAUGAUACGAGUCUUCUCGCGUCGACACACUCUCAUCCCAAAAUAAUGGAGGCACCCAGGCGCGAAAGUGGUUACGACAUUUCUGAUGGGACCUUAACGGUUUUAGGUUCAACUCUUGGAAACAUCGAGAGGAGGUUUCGGUAUCAUCUUGACAUUUCGUGAUCCCACUCAGAAGAACAAAAGCACGGACGGCUGUCGGGGUUCUUAAGGAUCUUUAAUAAAGUGAUAUCAUUGAUCAGGGUGUUCAUUGCUCUUCCUAAUCACAACUGUCAACAUGCGAACAGAUUGGGAAAACGUAACGUUCAGUCGAUGUCAUCCAUACGCACUCAUGUCAGAUAAAUAAUUCGGAAAAGAUGAGCACGAACACUAAAGUAUCGAUGAAUAUUAAUUUGAUAUUUUUGUUUCAAUAAAAUUAUUUAGUUCUCCCCCUCCAACAAACAAGUGAAGAACAAUAUCACACUAAAUCAACACCUACAAGCAUCAACACGAUCAAGUCCUGUAGAUUGUGAAAUAGCUGGCCAUAUAAACAUGCAUGGAAAUUGAAACUAAUGGAAUGUAAGACACACAAGCAUGGACGUGUAUACUACGGCUGGUGAUAGAGGUCGCUGUACACGUUAUAAGCGUAACGUAAAUUACAGGCGUCCGCCCAGUUCCUUAGAUGACCCUGUUCUUAGUAAAUAUAACAGCCUGGUCCCAGGACCAUAAACUGAGAAUAGACUUAAGUCAAAAUUUUGAUUGCUUAUAUCAUAAGAUUUAUCUAGCACACAUGUUUAAAAAAAAUUGCAGGUAUAUGUAUACAAAAAGAUCAAAUGCAAUCAUGUACUAAACAUUUUAUUUGUUUAUAAAAAUUAUUUCAAAAGUUAGCUGGAUUUGAAAUUUAGACCUAAAUCUAUUCUCAGUUUAUGAGGCCAGAUCUUCAGUUAUCCGUUCAUCAGUAAACGGAAGUAGAAGGCAGUACUAUACAAUGUGUAUCGUGAUCAUUACAACUCAGAGAAGCAUCGCCCACUCCGCCUUUCAUUUGUACGUGAAUGAUUUAGUUUAGGUUCUGAAAAUAGUUUGAAUAUACCUCCAUUUCUGGAGCAAAAUAAUAAUAUGAUAAAAAAAAAAAAAAAAAAAAAUUAUGAUAGCAGUAUUUAUUACUUUCCAGAGAAUUUGAUUUAAAUCAAGUAUCAUAUUAUAAAUUGUACUUCAUGAAAGACAAAGAUAACGAACAGUGUUCAAUCUCAUGUGAUUUCAAUGAACAAAAAUUAUGAACCUCAAUACAAUCUAUGUUCAUACUACAUGUAGCUUUUGUGAACAUAUGAUAUACGUUCAUUCUAGCUUUUGUUAAUAUAUAUAUAGUCUUUAUUUAUUCUAGCCGCAGUUUUGGGAACAUAGUCUGUGUUCAUUCCAGUUUUUGUAAACAUAAAAUCUGUUCUUCGAGGGUUUGUGAACAAAUAAUCUGUGUUCAUCCGAGGUUUUGUGAACAAUUAAUUCGUGUUCACUCGAGGAUUUGUGAACAAAUAAUCUGUGUUCAU